This 329-nucleotide ribosomal RNA is filed under the name uncultured bacterium. RNAcentral's name for it is "bacterial SSU rRNA". It matches the Rfam family "Bacterial small subunit ribosomal RNA", at positions 28 to 334 of the family's 1533-position model. The record is from RNAcentral.
GACGAACGCUGGCGGCGUGCUUAACACAUGCAAGUCGAACGAGACGAUUUAGAAGCUUGCUUUUAUUGAGUCGAGUGGCAAACGGGUGAGUAACGCGUAGACAACCUGCCGCAAAGAUGGGGACAACAGUCCGAAAGGACUGCUAAUACCGAAUGUUGUAUCUCCUCCGCAUGGAAGAGAUAUUAAAGAUGGCCUCUACUUGUAAGCUAUCGCUUUGCGAUGGGUCUGCGUCUGAUUAGCUAGUUGGUGGGGCAACGGCCUACCAAGGCGACGAUCAGUAGCCGGUCUGAGAGGAUGAACGGCCACAUUGGAACUGAGACACGGUCCAG